Molecule: non-coding RNA, 167 nt
Filed under: Bradyrhizobium erythrophlei
Lineage: Bacteria; Pseudomonadati; Pseudomonadota; Alphaproteobacteria; Hyphomicrobiales; Nitrobacteraceae
Source: RNAcentral
UAGCGGGUGAGAGUCUCGCCAACAGAGGAGUCCAGUCGCUGUUGUAGUUAUAUCCUGCAGCGGGAAGGGCGACCAACCCGCUGAAAGCCCGGAUGUAAAAGCCCCGCUAGCUGGGUAACCGGUCAGAUCCGUGCAGGGGGCGAGCAAGCUGGCAGACCGUAGCAGAU